Molecule: long non-coding RNA, 417 nt
Organism: Sander lucioperca (pikeperch)
Lineage: Eukaryota; Metazoa; Chordata; Actinopteri; Perciformes; Percidae
Exons: 2
Source: RefSeq, a predicted model, not a curated record
ACAUAUAGUCACUUUAAAGGCCCAUCUAGGGACAGCAUUGCAUUGGCUUUGGCUAUAAAUGCUGUGGUGUGUGGCAUUAGUUUAUGCUACAUACUUAUACAUCCCCAUAUAAAUAAAGCGGUACAUACUGUAUGUUGGAGCCAUUACACCACUUUGUUUUGUUUAUAUAGGCUACCAUGUUGGUUAUGCUAAUUAAUCUGCAGUUUUAUGUUUGAGCACUGGGUGGAGCAUUGCCUUUGGGAAGGCAUAAAGGUAAUCAGCCGCAGGUACACAGGUUUGUGGAAAACGGGGAAAGCAGACAGCUUUUCACCGUGAAAAUGAAUGGAACUAAUCCAGAAAUGAAAUGAACUGUAAUGCUUGUGCGACGGUGAGCAGGCCGUUAAGGAAAAUAAAUGGGUCACAGCACCGAAAUGCAAA